UACUGAACAGAUGUUAGAGCCAGUCCACACGGCGCGUUGCGUCAGCGUUGGGUCGACGCAGUGCUGCCAUUGCGUUGUUUUACAUACAAAUAAUCAAGGU
Long non-coding RNA from Aricia agestis (brown argus), 100 nucleotides. RefSeq lists it as uncharacterized. Lineage: Eukaryota; Metazoa; Arthropoda; Insecta; Lepidoptera; Lycaenidae. The record is from RefSeq and is a predicted model, not a curated record. The transcript has 3 exons.